UUGAGGAUAGCCGUCCUAACGGACGGGUAAUACUCGAUGACAUCGCAAGAUCAAAGCUCCGGCGCCGUCGGAGGGGCCCAUGUCGGAUUAGCUAGUUGGGGGGGUAACGGCCCACCAAGGCUAAGACGGCUAGCGGGUGUGAGAGCACGACCCGCGCCACUGGCACUGAGACACUGGCCAGACACCUACGGGUGGCUGCAGUCGAGGAUCUUCGUCAAUGGGCGAAAGCCUGAACGAGCGAUGCCGCGUGAGCGAUGAAGGCCUUCGGGUUGUAAAGCUCAAAAGUGAAGAGAAAGGGAAACUUGAUCGAUUCACAGUAAGCUCGGGCUAAGUUCGUGCCAGCAGCCGCGGUAAGACGAACCGAGCGAACGUUGUUCGGAAUCACUGGGCUUAAAGGGCGCGUAGGCGGGCGGCUAAGUCUGUGGUGAAAUCCUCCAGCUCAACUGGAGAACUGCCAUGGAUACUGGUCGUCUCGAGGAAGGUAGGGGUAUGCGGAACUAUCGGUGGAGCGGUGAAAUGCGUUGAUAUCGAUAGGAACUCCGGUGGCGAAGGCGGCAUACUGGACCUUUUCUGACGCUGAGGCGCGAAAGCCAGGGGAGCAAACGGGAUUAGAUACCCCGGUAGUCCUGGCCCUAAACGAUGGGUACUAGCUAGUAGGGUUCACAUGGCUUUACUGGCGAAGCAAAAGUGCUAAGUACCCCGCCUGGGGAGUAUGGUCGCAAGGCUGAAACUCAAAGGAAUUGACGGGGGCUCACACAAGCGGUGGAGCAUGUGGCUUAAUUCGAGGCUACGCGAAGAACCUUAUCCUAGACUUGACAUGUGCGAUAGCGUUGAGCGGUACGUCUCCGAAAGGAAGGCCGAUUCCCAGCAAUGGGAGGACUCAACACAGGUGCUGCAUGGCUGUCGUCAGCUCGUGUCGUGAGAUGUCGGGUUAAGUCCCAUAACGAGCGAAACCCU
RNAcentral lists this ribosomal RNA (957 nucleotides) under uncultured Zavarzinella sp. RNAcentral describes it as "bacterial SSU rRNA". It matches the Rfam family "Bacterial small subunit ribosomal RNA", at positions 137 to 1105 of the family's 1533-position model. The record is from RNAcentral. Lineage: Bacteria; Pseudomonadati; Planctomycetota; Planctomycetia; Gemmatales; Gemmataceae.